GUUGGUGGAUAUGGAAUCUAGCUAUCUAACAGUGAAUUUUUCUGGAAACUUCAUCUUGAGCCAGAGAAGGCUCAAAAUUCUCAGGCCCAAAUGCAGACCGUUAUUUUGAUAAUCAUUUCAGAAGAAUUGGAUCAAAUGUCACUGCUUAUAUAAAUAUGGUGUGCGACACGCUCAGGAAUUCUAUUCCGAAGGCUGUGGUUUACUGCCAAGUAAGAGAAGCCAGGAGAUCACUUCUAAACUACUUCUACAGUCAAGUUGGGAGGAGAGAGAAGGAGAGGCUUGGUGCAAUGUUGGACGAGGACCCACAGCUCAUGGACAAGCGAGCAACCUUAGCUAAAAGACUUGAGUUGUACAAGCAAGCUAGAGAUGACAUUGAUUCUGUGGCCUGGAAAUAGCAAUCUCUGAUUCUAUAACAAUUAUGCAGGCUUGCAAAUUUUUUAUGCUUAAAAAAGCUUCACAGCCUAAAUCUUCUCUCAACUUUGCACAUUCUUUUGUACUCAAUUUUGAAAAGUAUCGAGUUUACUUUGGAUU
Non-coding RNA from Carica papaya (papaya), 531 nucleotides. The record is from RefSeq and is a predicted model, not a curated record. Lineage: Eukaryota; Viridiplantae; Streptophyta; Magnoliopsida; Brassicales; Caricaceae.